AGACCCGAAACCCGGUGAUCUAGCCAUGGGCAGGUUGAAGGUUGGGUAACACUAACUGGAGGACCGAACCGACUAAUGUUGAAAAAUUAGCGGAUGACCUGUGGCUGGGGGUGAAAGGCCAAUCAAACCGGGAGAUAGCUGGUUCUCCCCGAAAGCUAUUUAGGUAGCGCCUCGUGAAUUCAUCUCCGGGGGUAGAGCACUGUUUCGGCUAGGGGGCCAUCCCGGCUUACCAACCCGAUGCAAACUGCGAAUACCGGAGAAUGUUAUCACGGGAGACACACGGCGGGUGCUAACGUCCGUCGUGAAGAGGGAAACAACCCAGACCGCCAGCUAAGGUCCCAAAGUCAUGGUUAAGUGGGAAACGAUGUGGGAAGGCCCAGACAGCCAGGAUGUUGGCUUAGAAGCAGCCAUCAUUUAAAGAAAGCGUAAUAGCUCACUGGUCGAGUCGGCCUGCGCGGAAGAUGUAACGGGGCUAAACCAUGCACCGAAGCUGCGGCAGCGACACUGUGUGUUGUUGGGUAGGGGAGCGUUCUGUAAGCCUGUGAAGGUGUGUCGUGAGGCAUGCUGGAGGUAUCAGAAGUGCGAAUGCUGACAUAAGUAACGAUAAAGCGGGUGAAAAGCCCGCUCGCCGGAAGACCAAGGGUUCCUGUCCAACGUUAAUCGGGGCAGGGUGAGUCGACCCCUAAGGCGAGGCCGAAAGGCGUAGUCGAUGGGAAACGGGUUAAUAUUCCCGUACUUGGUGUUACUGCGAAGGGGGGACGGAGAAGGCUAUGUUGGCCGGGCGACGGUUGUCCCGGUUUAAGCGUGUAGGUGUGUGUUCCAGGUAAAUCCGGUUCACUUUAACACUGAGGCGUGACGACGAGGCACUACGGUGCUGAAGCAACAAAUGCCCUGCUUCCAGGAAAAGCCUCUAAGCAUCAGGUAACAUCAAAUCGUACCCCAAACCGACACAGGUGGUC
Molecule: ribosomal RNA, 959 nt
Filed under: Salmonella enterica subsp. enterica serovar Stanley
Lineage: Bacteria; Pseudomonadati; Pseudomonadota; Gammaproteobacteria; Enterobacterales; Enterobacteriaceae
Description: partial 23S ribosomal RNA
Rfam family: Bacterial large subunit ribosomal RNA
Source: RNAcentral